This 6380-nucleotide long non-coding RNA is filed under the name Nicotiana benthamiana. RNAcentral's name for it is "long non-coding RNA (NBEN_LNC010542)". Lineage: Eukaryota; Viridiplantae; Streptophyta; Magnoliopsida; Solanales; Solanaceae. The record is from RNAcentral.
AAUCAUAAAAAUUAUGCCACCGGCCACCCUCUUCACCCCCACAGUACCCCCUUCACACCCCAAACACAAAUAUACAAGCCUCGUUCCUCGAAUCAAACUGAGUCUUCUCGAAUCUUUAUUUGAAGAUUUGAGCUAAAACUCGAUUUACACCAAACCAUCCCAAACUCAUACCUAGCACUCUCCUGAUCUUCCUUAGGCCUAAACCAACUUUGGUUUGGUUCAAAUCUACCCAGAAAACCUCUAAAACACCCGUAUGAACCCUAGAAAUCCAAAAUGGGGGUUUCUGUCUAAUUCGAUGAGAGAUUAAGGUCUAUUCGACCAAGAACAUCCUGAUUAAGGUCCAUUCGACCUAAAGUCGUCGAAUCCGGUCGAGUCCAGUUCGUUUGUGCAUGAGCUUAAAGAUAAGUGUUCCUUCUUUUUUCUAUUUUUUUCUCAUUCGUAUUAUGUGUUGCAUUUGUUUGCUUGUUAAGUUUACUGGCAUGAUUUUUUUUCCUUCUUUUUCUGUUCAUCUCCGUAAAGACCUUUAUUUGGUCAUUUGUUCUGUUUGUUUGUUAUUGUUGUGAGUUUCGUGUUCCAAUUUGUUAGAUAGUUUAGUUCAUUUUAGUCCUUUGUUGAAACCACCUAAAAAUCCAGAACCUAACAGUUACACCUUGUUGUUAAUUGAUUAAUUGCUAUUCAGUAUAGUUCAUUUAGUCGAUUAAAUGAAGGUCGUCAUUUGAAUUCACUGAAAAGAAUUAGAAGAAGCAUGAUUGUUCAUCUUUGCUUAAUUACCAGUGUGCCUCGUCUUGCAUCAAUAUGCCUUUAUUCAGUGUUGUUCUACUUAGCCUAUAAUAUAUUAGCUUGUAAUUGGUUUGGAGCUUGGUCAGGUUUGGUUUACCAAACUGACCAACUCACUCCACCAAACUUUUGCACCUUUCUGCCUUAAUUGUUUGAAUUUAGGAAAUUGAAUUGAUUAUAGCUGCUUAAUCAGAAUUUAAUCUUGUUGAUUAGUCUUGAACAUAUUUUAGAAUUUGUCCUGUGGUUUAGGGCAGUAAUAUCAGGGGAAUUACAGGGGUAAUUUGGGGAGUUCAAAGUUAAAAAAUGGUUUGGCUGAGUAUUCUGUCCAGUAGGCCCCAAUAUGUUCUAAUUUGAACUAAUUGAUAGGGGGACCACUAAGGAAUGAAAGAUGUUUUUUGCUUAUUGGAAAUUAGCAACGGUAGGUAAUAAUAAAAGGCUAAAAUAUACAGAUAGUUAGAAGAAUAUAGAGCCAGAAAGUAAGAAAUAAGUAGAGGGUAAUAAUAUAUGGGCAAUGGUAAAAGUAAAGAAAAGGGGGCUGAAAAGGGUCUACCUUUUGUAUAAAAAAGGGGUCAUUUGGGACUAGAGGGGGGGUGGGGAAUUUAUUGAACAUAAAAAGUCGAGUUUAAUAGUGAAUUGAAGCUCAAAUUUUGAAUACAAAUUUUUUUUUUAGAUUUUUGAGUUGAAAAAGAGAGCUGGUUGUGAGUCAUCAGUUUUUGUGUGUUCAGUCUAGAGGGUCUAAGAGCUAGAUAGUUUGUUGUUCUUUUAUGACUGGAAAUCAGAAAAGAGUGAAGUUCGUGAGAGUCUUUCUUCUUUAAGAGUUUAAAGAACAUACUUUUUCAUUGCAUCUCUUGGCCGAGCUUGUCUUACUUGUUAUUUGUUGUUGGUAUUUCUGAGUAUCAAUUGGUUUUCUUAAGUUAUUCCUAGGUUGUAUUCUGCAUCUUCUGGUGUGGCAUUGGUUUUUGCUUAAGCUACUGGUCACAUCACUGCUGCUUUGUUGUGCUACUACUGUUAUACUGUUGCUGCUGAUCUUCCAUUUCUCCCGUUGUAAACACUUCCAGGUACACAGCUUGAUCUCGGCACUUGCAUGCUGAAAUGUGAAAGAAGAUUCAAAGAAAAUAUUUGAAGCAUGAGAUUUGAGUGUUUCCAAUUCCUGAAUUAUGUAUUCAGUGCUUCGUUUAUGGAGGUGGUUUAAGUCCCUGCUUGUUUUGUAUUAGAUGGACUUUUUUUUAGGAUUCUGAUUCAAUGAGUUUGUUUCUCAAGUAUAAUUUAGCUCUUUAGUUGUUGCAACUAAUUUGGUGUUAGUAAUCCGUGUUAAGUCAUUGUCAGUCUCAUGAUAGAUUCUUCCGUAAGUCUGUUUUAAAAUGAUGCGUAUUGAUGUGAAAACAUCAAGUUCAAAAGUAAAUGGUUGAUUGAGUUUUCAUAUUAGUCGGAAAACAAUCUGGGCGUUAUCGUUUAAUUAGGAUAUUAGGAUGGAAUUUGAAUUCUAGUAAUCUUAUUCACACGUUAUAAAAUUACAUUCUAGUUCAAAUGGUUUAAAAUAAGAUGAGUCUAGAAACUGAGAUUUUAAUUUUUCUAUUGGAUUGUGUAUGAGAUUCUUGACUAAAAGAAGGAGAAACCAUAUUUUCACCAAAAAAAAAUUCACAUGAAGCUCUUGUAAUCAUUUGGAUGCAUGCCUUCUUUUUAUUGAAAGGAAUUGUAGGCUUUGUUGGAAUCAGCAAAUUUUGUUACUUGUUUGGACUCUUAACAGACUUCUAACGUUCAUGGAUCCAAAUGUAGUGACUCUUAAAUAAUAUUAAUGAGGACCUCUUUCUUUAUUUUAGAGACGGACAAAAAAUAAAAAAAUAUAGUUCGCUUUAGGAUAGCUUUAAAUAAAAAUGAGGUGAGCCUCGCUAGAUAAAACCACAAAUUGCGAGGCCCUCAAUAAAUGUAUACUAAAAUACUUAGAUUCCGGGACGGAUCGUUUAGGAAAUUUUACGGUCUUUCCUAAAAUAAUAAUGCGUUAGAUUCUUUAGGCACGUAUUUUAAUAACAUUACCUCCCUAAACUCGGGUGCAUAUUUAUGUGACCCAAAUCCAAAUCUCAACGAAAACGAAAUGUGUUAACAACCACGGGUGUAUUGAUUGCGACAUGGUUCGAAACGCGUUUUCACGGCGUUGCAAUUCUAUUAAAAAUAAUAAUAAUGACGAUUUAAAGUUAAUAAAAGCACAUAAGUUAUAACAUGUAUUAAAAUCAGAUAUUUAGCCCUUUACAACAGUUUAAGCGACCAUGCUAGAACCACGGGAUUCGGGGGUGCCUAACACCUUCGGGUCAACAGAAUUCCUUACAUAGAAUUUCUGGUCCGCAGACUUCAUUUGGAAAGUCAAAUAUUUUCCUCGAAUUGGGAUUCAAGAUAAACCGGUGACUUAGGACACAAAAGUCAAACUUAUCCUAAGUGGCAACUCUAAAUAAAUAAAAUAAUCCCAUUUCAAUUAUCGUCACUUAAAUUGAAAAAACUCCCUUGUACAUCUAUCCUUUGGGGUAGGCCCGCAAAAAAAGAGGUGUUACAUCUUCGCCAUAGGAGGUAAAAUUUUCCAUAUUAUCUAUAUAUUAUUAAAAGGAGAGGCUAAAGCUCUCUCCUUAAGCCAAGUGACAUCCUAAAAAAAGGACACAUGGCAGUUAGUUACUAAUUAUUUAUUUAGUUAUUGACUAUUAAUAAUUAUCAAAAUUAACUACUCAAACAUGGGUAAGGGUUAGUUUAGGGUAGUUAAUUUCUUUAUUUUACUUUUUAAAAUUAUUUUCGUUUUUAUAUAUUUUGAAAUAAAAAGUGUAUUUAUUCAUUAAAAUAAAAACAAUAUUAUUUAGAAAAUAUAAUAAAUUUAUUUUUAAAAAAUAUUUUCAAGAGUAAUAAAAUGUGUAUCUUCUGGUAUAUUACUAAAGAAAUUAGCAGAUAAAAAUAUUAAACAAGUAAUAUGAUAAUAAUUUGUAUGAACAAUAUAAUUGUACUAAAUAUUGGAUAUUAUAAUAAACAAAAUACAUAACAAAAAAGUUAUUUGAUAACUAUAUAAGUCCAUUUAAUUUAAUAGAGAUUAUUCAUUAAAAUUCAGACAAUAUCUACUCCUAUUUAUAUAGAAUAUGAGAAGCAAAUCAUUGUGAUGAUUCCAAAUAUAACAUCAAAAAAUAAACAAAGUGUCAAAAUGUACGACAAAACUCCAAUAAAUUUGGAGAUUCAAAAAUUAUGUACAAAAAAAUAAUAAAAACAACAAAAUUAACUGCCUAAAAUUAACUAUUCAAACACUGAUUCCAAAUGUAACAUCAAAAAAUUAACAAAGUGUCAAAUUUUAGGACAAAAGUCCAAUAAAUUUGGAGAUUCAGAAAUUAAUAUAAAAAAAUGAUAAAAACAACAAAAUUAAUUGCCUAAAAUUAACAAAAUUAAUUUCCUAAAAUUAGCUACUCAAACAUGGGUGAUAUAAUAAAGAUAAAUACAUAACAAAAAUUUUAUUCGAUGAUAUAAUAAAGAAAAAUACAUAACAAAAAAAUUACUCGAUGUUGUAUAAGUCCCUUUAGUUUAAUAGAGAUUUUAUUCAUUAAAAUUUAGAUAAUAUUAUUGAGAACAACAGAAUAAAAUUUAACAUAAAAACUAUUUCAAUAGUAAUAAAUUAUAUAUCUUCUCUUAUGUUAUCAAAAAAAAAAAAAGCGAGCACAUGAAAAUAUUAAACAACGUAAUAUAUUAAUAAAAAUUUCUGUUCACAUGUAAUAAUACUAAACAUUGGAUAAUAUAAUAAAGAAAAAUAUAUAACAAAAAAGUUAUUCACAGACUAUAUAAGUACCUUUAGUUUAAUAGAGAUUUAUUAUUGGGUAUAUCGUAUUGACAAAUAAGAUGACAAUAAAAAUUUAUUAAAGCAAUAAGAUCUAAUAGGACCAAACAAGUCCGAUCACAAUUUAAUUUAGUUAAUAUUUUUUAAAAAUUCAUCGCGAAUCGCGCGGAUACGACUACUAGUAACUAGGUAAAAAUCCCCAAGUUAACGAUGUAAUCGGGUCCAAGGCCCAACAAUAUAUUGGAUAUAGAUACAUACUCUUCAAGUGCAUUUUAGACUAAAUUGAUAUAUUAAAAAAAAAUACACAAAACUUGAUCAAAUAGUCCCUCUGAGUAAGCCUAUCCGUUAGAAUUUCCUUUUUGGUUGUAGAUUCAAAUAGCUAGCGCUAGCCCAUCCCAAAUUUCAAGUAUUUAGUAAUUAUUAUUUGGGAUUUUUUUUAUCUAUACCAUAUAGCAAACUUUAUUACCAAAAAUAUUCAUAAUAUUGUAUUUACCCGUCUAAUCCAUACUUUAUCUACAAAAUCUAUACCAAACCAAAAAUAGGUGAAUUCUACCCUAAGAACGCGCCAAAAUAGACGGAAUCAGAUUUGAUGGUGAUUCUAUCACCAUUAAUUUCGAGAUUUAAAACAGAAGCAAAUCCAUUGUAGCGUAUUCUCUCAUUGUGUAUCGGAAAUAGAUCUCUCAUCUGUAACUUAGCUACAAUUCAAAAACUCCAGCAAUCAAAUUGUAGAAAUUCAAAAUUUUUGAAUAUAGUUCCACGCUACAAAAUCUCCAGCAAUCAAAUUAUAGAAAUUUUAAAUUGUUGAACACUGAAUCUGGCUACAACAUCUCCAGCAAUCAAAUUUUAGAAAUUCAAAAUUGUUUAAUACAGUUCUUCAUCGACAUCAGUAAAAAAUUCUCGAAUCUAUAUAUGUUCUUCAUCUGUUUUUCUAUCAACUACAUGAAAUUAUGUCAAAAUUUCAAUAAUGCUGAAAUCGAAUGGUAAUUGGGAUACCUAUGGCAGAUUUAGAUAUUUUGAAGUUGAUGCCAUUUUGGUAGAUGAUAAUGCAAGCUACGAAAUUCUCAUUUCUACAANNNNNNNNNNNNNNNNNNNNNNNNNNNNNNNNNNNNNNNNNNNNNNNNNNNNNNNNNNNNNNNNNNNNNNGAACAAUUAUCGAUUGAUACAUCGGAUAAAAUUGUAGAAAUAAAAUACAUUGUGAACGAGAAUUGUCCUCCAUUGGAGAUUAGGAAUGAUAUGGGGGUUAGUGUAUAUAUGAAAACGAAAAAGAGAACAAAAACUUAGGUUCGUAUCCCUUAUGUAUUAGCGUAAGAGAUUUCAAUAUGGAAUGGCAAUCACCAAUAAAAACAUCAGUACAGGUAUGUUUGAUUCGACAUUGCUGAGAGUUAUUGUGUUACCUAGUUAUGUGUUACCUAGUUAUCUACAAUAUAACGACAUUUGUCUACAUUUAAACUACAAUUAUCAUAUAGUACUGGAAAGGAAAAAGCGAUGUUGCUUUCAAGUUUACCUACAUAGUUACUACAUUUGUGAAUUUAUUGACUGCAGGUUCUUCAGGAUCCCUAAGGUUACUAGAAAUUCCAUCCUCACCAGCUAUAGAGGAAUAUAGAAGUGUUUAUUGUCUGCAGGUUCUUCAGGAUCCCUAUGGUUACUAGAAAUUCCAUCCUCACCAGCUAUAGAGGAAUAUCAAAGUUAAAUAAUAAUUGAAUGUACGCAAACAUGAAUUGAAGAAGGACAAGUGUAUCAGGACAAGAAAACACUAGCUGCUGCAAUGAAGAAUUAUUCAGUGACGCACAAGUUUCAGUUCAGAGUAAAA